UACGGGGGGGGCAAGCGUUGUUCGGAAUUACUGGGCGUAAAGGGCUCGUAGGCGGCCAACUAAGUCGGAUGUGAAAUCCCCAAGCUUAACUUGGGAACUGCAUCCGAUACUGGAUGGCUUGAAUCCGGGAGAGGGAUGCAGAAUUCCAGGUGUAGCGGUGAAAUGCGUAGAUAUCUGGAGGAACACCGGUGGCGAAGGCGGCAUCCUGGACCGGCAUUGACGCUGAGGCGCGAAAGCCAGGGGAGCAAACGGG
This 253-nucleotide ribosomal RNA is filed under the name uncultured bacterium. RNAcentral describes it as "partial 16S ribosomal RNA". It matches the Rfam family "Bacterial small subunit ribosomal RNA", at positions 524 to 776 of the family's 1533-position model. The record is from RNAcentral.